This 707-nucleotide ribosomal RNA is filed under the name uncultured bacterium. Its description in RNAcentral is "bacterial SSU rRNA". It matches the Rfam family "Bacterial small subunit ribosomal RNA", at positions 1 to 702 of the family's 1533-position model. The record is from RNAcentral.
CCCUUAGAGUUUGAUCAUGGCUCAGGACGAACGCUGGCGGCGGGCUUAACACAUGCAAGUCGAAGGAGAAGGUAGAAGCUUGCUUUUACUGGAGACUGGCGGACGGGUGAGUAACGCGUAGAUAACCUGCCUAUAGCUGGGGGAUAACACUGCGAAAGUGGUGCUAAUACCGCAUAAUGCAGCGGGGCCGCAUGGCCAUAGUUGUUAAAGGUUUCGACCGGCUAUAGAUGGGUCUGCGUGCUAUUAGUUAGUUGGUAGGGUAACGGCCUACCAAGGCGAUGAUAGCUAGGGGGUCUGAGAGGAUGAUCCCCCACACUGGGACUGAGACACGGCCCAGACUCCUACGGGAGGCAGCAGUGAGGAAUCUUGCGCAAUGGGCGAAAGCCUGACGCAGCCACGCCGCGUGCCGGAUGAAGGCCCUAUGGGUUGUAAACGGCUUUUACUAGGGAAGAACGAGAGGGUUUCGAUCUUCUGUGACGGUACCUAGUGAAUAAGCACCGGCUAACUCCGUGCCAGCAGCCGCGGUAAUACGGAGGGUGCAAGCGUUGUCCGGAAUCAUUGGGUGUAAAGGGUACGUAGGCGGGAGCCUAAGUCUGGGGUGAAAUCUUGCCGCUUAACGGUAAAAUGGCCCUGGAUACUGGGUUUCUUGAGUGCAGAAGAGGCAGGUGGAAUUCGUGGUGUAGCGGUGAAAUGCUUAGAUAUCACGA